Molecule: ribosomal RNA, 602 nt
Filed under: bacterium TN91A
Lineage: Bacteria
Description: bacterial SSU rRNA
Rfam family: Bacterial small subunit ribosomal RNA
Source: RNAcentral
CGGCGUGCUUAACACAUGCAAGUCGAACGAUGAUGCCCACUUGUGGGUGGAUUAGUGGCGAACGGGUGAGUAACACGUGAGUAACCUGCCCUUGACUCUGGGAUAAGCCUGGGAAACUGGGUCUAAUACCGGAUAUGACCUUCCAUCGCAUGGUGGUUGGUGGAAAGCUUUUGUGGUUUUGGAUGGACUCGCGGCCUAUCAGCUUGUUGGUGGGGUAAUGGCCUACCAAGGCGACGACGGGUAGCCGGCCUGAGAGGGUGACCGGCCACACUGGGACUGAGACACGGCCCAGACUCCUACGGGAGGCAGCAGUGGGGAAUAUUGCACAAUGGGCGCAAGCCUGAUGCAGCGACGCCGCGUGAGGGAUGACGGCCUUCGGGUUGUAAACCUCUUUCAGUAGGGAAGAAGCGAAAGUGACGGUACCUGCAGAAGAAGCGCCGGCUAACUACGUGCCAGCAGCCGCGGUAAUACGUAGGGCGCAAGCGUUAUCCGGAAUUAUUGGGCGUAAAGAGCUCGUAGGCGGUUUGUCGCGUCUGCCGUGAAAGUCCGGGGCUCAACUCCGGAUCUGCGGUGGGUACGGGCAGACUAGAGUGAUGUAGGGG